Long non-coding RNA from Helianthus annuus (common sunflower), 2996 nucleotides. RefSeq lists it as uncharacterized. The transcript is spliced from 11 exons. The record is from RefSeq and is a predicted model, not a curated record. Lineage: Eukaryota; Viridiplantae; Streptophyta; Magnoliopsida; Asterales; Asteraceae.
CCUAAAUUCUUAUCGCCUCAUUCUUUUCCUUCACUGCUUCACAUAGAAACCCUAGCCUCCGUGUUCCUUGCUUGAAGCUUCUACAUCUCAUUUUCUCCGAAAACAUUCGCUUGUGCUUGAAUCGACUGUUCCAUCGUAUGAGGAAGAUGGUGAUGGUGGUGGACUGUUUCAUCUUCUACUUCACGCUUCCUACUCGUCUUCCUAAACCCUAGCAUUCCUCCCAUUCGUCUCUCAACUAGAUCACCAUUUUUUUCUUCGAUGGAUUCACGAUUGUUUGGUUUUAGGAUUUCAUUUAUCAUUACAAACUCGAUCCAAGAUCUGACUCUACUCCAAUCAUCCUCAGUACCAUCGACAACCUAACUAGAAAAAGGUUAACAUGUGAAAGUUCGAGUCUUUCCUACUUCAAGUUCACCUUGCUGUUACACACUGGCACGUAGAUAUCACCUGUUUGAGAUUAUUUAUUAAUUUUUGUCGUGUUUUUGUUUAGUAAUUUUGUGAAAUUCGUCGACAUUGUUAUUGUGUUGUUUUUUUACUUGAUUGUUUUUGUUAUAUGGAUUUUGUGCGAUUGUUGAUUUUAGUUUGUGAAGUUUGUUGAAAAUGGGAAUCUAGGGCUUUUUUAGUAAGAUUUUAAGGCCUUUUUUGUACAGAGUGGUAAAUUUGAAUCUGAAUUGACAUUUCGAUAGGUGGAGUUUGUUUUAGUUUUUCAGAUCUUGCAAUUAGUAGGGAGAAAGAUGACCACAUAAGGUUAUUAAAUUUAAUUACUUUUGGUCUUAUUUUUCAAGUUUUUUAACAUCAGAAGACGACUCUGACUCUGCUUCAAGGUCAUGGAGUACUAGAAUGUGUUUUGUCACGAUUUUAGGGUUUGUGGGAGACAUGGGAGUUGAUUUUGCUAUUUUUGCAGAGAAAGUAAACCGUUUUUUGUAGAGGAAGUCAACUUUCUCUCCUCUUCACAUCUUCAAGCACUGAUGCAAUUCUACUGAGUUCUAUAUCCAAGAUGGUGAUAUAAGAAUACAAUCUCAUUAUGUAAAAAAGGAAGGAAUUAUGGAUUUUAAUAAUCCUAACUAUUAGUUGUUGGCCGACAACGGUCCCAACUAAAAAAUAACCAGUGGUGGUCCCACCUUUUCAUAUAUUGUAAGCCAAUGGACUUUUACUAAACCGAAAAGGAUAAGGGGGCAAAAAGAAAUUAAGGUUUUGUUAGUAAAAAGUCCAUUAGUUUACAACACGUGAAAAGGUAGGACUACCACUGGUUAAUUUUUAAGUUGGGCCAUUGCUGGCCAAUGGCUAAUACUUUGAAUUAUUAAAAUCCGUUAUUCCAAAAAAGAAUGUAAAUGUGGCGUGUUUUUUAGUUUUUACUAAUAGCCUUGACACGUGGCAGGUUUUUGUAUGAAAGAUGCAACAGACCGACUAAUUAAGAUGAUAGUGGAGGAGGUGGAGGAAAACGGGGAUGGUGGUUUUAUGACACCGUAGGAAGGAAGGUUGAGAGAUUCCAGAUUCGCUACGUAUCAACACCGUUAUCACUAAACUACUGCACCAACGCAUAAACCAGUUUUUAAAACAUUGCAUAAAUCCGGUUUUCAAAUGGAAGAUAUUGUAGUGGUGGGGAUCUCGGAACUGUUGCCCCAUCUAAAAAAGUUGCAGGUACAUUUUCACAACUUUUUCACCUUCAGAAAAUGUAAAAAAUUAGCCCCUAGAUAUCGAUCCAGAUUCACGCUCAACUGUUUUGGUGAUCAUUGGCAUCCUAUGGUGAACUCAAGGUGAAGGUUGGGAACAACAAUCACAUGUUUUGCUAGGCAUGUGUCGGACGCUAUUAUUAUUUGAGUAGAAAGAUUUUUAAGCGCUACUCACCACAUUUCGGUCCAAAGGAUUGCAAAAAAAAUAUACGAUUGUUUCUAUGCUAUUGGAAGACCGAUCUGUGAAUCCGGAUUCUUUGAAUCGUCAUAAAUAGUUGGGUCAAAUUUGGUAGACUCCAUUGAUGCCGGCUGCAAUGCAUGGGAAGAUUGAUUGUGUUAAAAAGCUCAUUGAAGCUAAUGCUAAUAUUUUGAUGUUUGAUUCACCAAAUGGAAGAACAUGCUUGCACUAUGCUGCUUAUUAUGGUCAUUCUGAUUGUCUCGAAACCUUUCUUUUCGCGGCCCGGACCUCUCAUGUUGCCGCUUCUUGGGGAUUCUCGAUAUUUGUGAAUAUUAGAGAUGGUUAAGGGGCAACACCUUUGCAUUUGACUGCCCGUCAAAAAGACGACCGCAAUGUGUUCAUAUACUUCUAGAUAGUGGAGCUCUUGUAUGUGCCUCUACCGGUGGCUAUGGAAGAGAGAUCGACAGCAACCCCAAAGAAAACAUCCACAGACCCUAUACCAAAGAUAAAUAGUUGCAAUGGGUUUUAUUGUGACUAUUUCCAUCCAAAUAACAAAGAAACCAAACCCACAGUGUGGACAAAGACUUGGAGUGGAUGGUUGAAGAAAAUUUUGGGAAUGCUCAACAUAUUGAACUUGAUUAGUACACAAACACAACAUUUUCCAACUUUGGUCAGGACCCAUUUGUUGAUAGUUCGAUUAGUAUUCCAGAGAUUGUCAUUGCACAACCAUCACGACUGUGAUCGCCAUAUUAUUCCGAUCAUAUGCUACCGGCUACGCCAUAGUUCAAUGGGUUGAAGUUGUCAACUUACCCAUACAUUUGUAGUGAAAAUUUUUGGAAGUUGCAUACUAGAGAAAAUUUCAACGAAAGUAAUGAAUUUUGAUGGAUGAAGGAAAGUAAUCUAUAUACAUGUUAAUACAUCAUUUUUUGUGUGAUUUUAAUUAUAUAUUAAAAGACUAUCCUCAUACCUUUUGGUUGGUUCUUUUUGUAGAAGGGACUCGAUUUACUCAGAAAGGUUUUGGCCACUUAAAGGAUAUGCAUAUUCAAAGGAACUCGACUAUCUUUAAAUUGUAAUUCCAUUUUGUCACUAAUGUAUGUAAUAUUACACUUUCUUUGUAUUUUAUUUUAUCUAUACACUUAAUGUUUAUC